CCUACGGGUGUCAGCAGUGGGGAAUAUUGGACAAUGGGGGGAACCCUGAUCCAGCCAUGCCGCGUGUGUGAAGAAGGCCCUCGGGUUGUAAAGCACUUUCAGUGAGGAAGAACGCCUGGUGGUUAAUACCCAUCAGGAAAGACAUCACUCACAGAAGAAGCACCGGCUAACUCCGUGCCAGCAGCCGCGGUAAUACGGAGGGUGCGAGCGUUAAUCGGAAUUACUGGGCGUAAAGCGCGCGUAGGUGGCUUGAUAAGCCGGUUGUGAAAGCCCCGGGCUCAACCUGGGAACGGCAUCCGGAACUGUCAAGCUAGAGGGCAGGAGAGGAAGGUAGAAUUCCCGGUGUAGCGGUGAAAUGCGUAGAGAUCGGGAGGAAUACCAGUGGCGAAGGCGGCCUUCUGGACUGACACUGACACUGAGGUGCGAAAGCGUGGGUAGCAAACAGGAUUAGAUACCCCAGUAGUC
Molecule: ribosomal RNA, 465 nt
Filed under: Vreelandella stevensii
Lineage: Bacteria; Pseudomonadati; Pseudomonadota; Gammaproteobacteria; Oceanospirillales; Halomonadaceae
Description: partial 16S ribosomal RNA
Rfam family: Bacterial small subunit ribosomal RNA
Source: RNAcentral